Molecule: ribosomal RNA, 696 nt
Filed under: Triticum aestivum (bread wheat)
Lineage: Eukaryota; Viridiplantae; Streptophyta; Magnoliopsida; Poales; Poaceae
Description: partial small subunit ribosomal RNA
Source: RNAcentral
AUGCAUUGGAGCGACGAGGAGACGUCUGUUCUCGUCGACGCUUGGGGCCCGCUGUACCUCGGCCGCAACCGAGGCUCCCUCAGCAUGGAGGAGUGGGACUCCGUGUGCAGAGCCGUCGACGCACACCACGCCGCCGCCGGGCUCGACUUCAGCCGCAACCCCGCCGGCUGCAAGAGGCGCAUCUCUGCACUCAAGGCUCGGUACACGGAGGAGGCCGCCAAGGAGCAGCCGACGUCGGCGUGGCGCCACUUUGCUCACCUCCGGGCGUUCCUGGCCGACCCCAGCGGCGGGCCUCCGGGCUUCGGCGCCAAGAAGCCGGAGGCGUCCGUGAAGAAGGAGAAAAAGAAGGUGGAGGGGGCGAGUGGAUCGGUCGGCACGACCAAGGUCCCGGCGAAGCGCCAGUUUUCGAGCCUACGGGACAUCCUGGCAAAGACGCCGGCGACCGUGAAGGAGGAGGAGGUGGUCGGCUGCGGGUGUGAGUUGGUUGGGGGUUCGGCGGCGGGGGUGAGCGUGACGAAGCUGGUGGCGGAGAUGACGAGGCUGGCGGAGGUGCACGAGCGCGUGGAGAUGGAGAGGCUCAAGUUCAUGAAGGAGAUGCUCAUGAUGAAGAUGAAGGAGGAGGAGGAGACGGAGGACGUGAAGCUGGAGCGCAAGAAAGUGAAGGCGGAGAAUGAGGAACAAGUCCACGGCAACUAA